GGCAAUUUAAGUGUCCCAGCCGUCACUCUCCUCGGGGGCAUUUGGCUGCAACGUUGGGAUAGAGAGCUUUGAUGGAAACUAUGGCCUUGCAAUUGGAUUUUGGAUGAAUAUUAGAAGUAUUGAUUUGUAUUGGGUAUCCUUUUAUUUCUUCUUUUUCAUUCCAGCUGCACGGAUUUAUAUUUUUGAUUUAGGAAGCUCACAGCUCGUUGAGCAACUUCACUGAAGCAUACAACUGCAACUUCUUUUAUUUAUUUAUUUUUUUUUGCCUAGUGUUUGUUUUAUUUAAGCUGGAGGUGGCUGUUUUAUUUAAGCAAGCGGUGCUUAUUACUUUGGAAGGCACACACGAAUUAUUCCUUUUCUUUCUUUGGAUGUUGUGACGUGCUGCAGUAGAAUAAGCAACAUUUUAACAUUCCUUUAUUUUAUUUUUAUUGAAUGAAAAAAAAAGAAAGAAUAGGAGAGAGUCCAGUGGUCACGGUGGUGAUGUGUUGAGAGAAGAAGCUCAUUUCAUUUAUGCUUAGGUGUGAAAUUUUCUUGAAGUGUGUUACGGGUUGCUGCAGGGAAGCACUUUACUUGCUUUAUUUUAAUUAAUUUGAAGUACUUUCAUUUCUUGCAUCAUCUCAUGGCUAGUGACAAAAGAUGGAGAAGCAUUUUAGUUCCUUUACUUUUUAAGUGUCUUUUAUUUGUAUUGUUACCAUGAUGAAUUGUUUUUAAUGUUUA
Molecule: long non-coding RNA, 717 nt
Filed under: Vigna radiata
Lineage: Eukaryota; Viridiplantae; Streptophyta; Magnoliopsida; Fabales; Fabaceae
Description: long non-coding RNA (VRAD_LNC005537)
Source: RNAcentral